AUUGAUUUUAUGCUUGCAUAAAUGAUUUUUGGAUUCGGAGCGAGUGGCGAACUGGUGAGUAACACGUGGGUAACCUGCCCCGAAGCGGGGGAUAACAUUUGGAAACAAGUGCUAAUACCGCAUAAUUAGUUGGAACCGCAUGGUUCCAACUUGAAAGAUGGCUCUGCUAUCACUUUGGGAUGGACCCGCGCCGUAUUAGUUAGUUGGUGAGAUAAAAGCCCACCAAGACGAUGAUACGUAGCCGACCUGAGAGGGUAAUCGGCCACAUUGGGACUGAGACACGGCCCAGACUCCUACGGGAGGCAGCAGUAGGGAAUCUUCCACAAUGGACGAAAGUCUGAUGGAGCAACGCCGCGUGAGUGAUGAAGGUUUUCGGAUCGUAAAACUCUGUUGUUAAAGAAGAACAAGUGUUAGAGUAACUGUUAACACUUUGACGGUAUUUAACCAGAAAGCCACGGCUAACUACGUGCCAGCAGCCGCGGUAAUACGUAGGUGGCAAGCGUUGUCCGGAUUUAUUGGGCGUAAAGCGAGCGCAGGCGGUUUUGUAAGUCUGCUGUGAAAGCCCUCAGCUCAACUGAGGAAGUGCAGUGGAAACUACAAAACUUGAGUACAGAAGAGGAAAGUGGAACUCCAUGUGUAGCGGUGAAAUGCGUAGAUAUAUGGAAGAACACCAGUGGCGAAGGCGGCUUUCUGGUCUGUUACUGACGCUGAGGCUCGAAAGCAUGGGUAGCGAACAGGAUUAGAUACCCUGGUAGUCCAUGCAGUAAACGAUGAAUACUAGGUGUUGGAGGGUUUCCGCCCUUCAGUGCCGCAGCUAACGCAUUAAGUAUUCCGCCUGGGGAGUACGACCGCAAGGUUGAAACUCAAAGGAAUUGACGGGGGCCCGCACAAGUGGUGGAGCAUGUGGUUUAAUUCGAUGCUACGCGAAGAACCUUACCAGCUCUUGACAUCUUCUGCCAACCCAAGAGAUUGGGCGUUCCCUUCGGGGACAGAAUGACAGGUGGUGCAUGGUUGUCGUCAGCUCGUGUCGUGAGAUGUUGGGUUAAGUCCCGCAACGAGCGCAACCCUUAUUAUUAGUUGCCAGCAUUUAGUUGGGCACUCUAGUGAGACUGCCGGUGAUAAA
RNAcentral lists this ribosomal RNA (1123 nucleotides) under uncultured bacterium. RNAcentral describes it as "bacterial SSU rRNA". It matches the Rfam family "Bacterial small subunit ribosomal RNA", at positions 47 to 1162 of the family's 1533-position model. The record is from RNAcentral.